RNAcentral lists this ribosomal RNA (302 nucleotides) under Amanita sp. 'albertellarum'. RNAcentral describes it as "partial 28S ribosomal RNA". It matches the Rfam family "Eukaryotic large subunit ribosomal RNA", at positions 1 to 292 of the family's 3401-position model. Lineage: Eukaryota; Fungi; Basidiomycota; Agaricomycetes; Agaricales; Amanitaceae. The record is from RNAcentral.
UUUGACCUCAAAUCAGGUAGGAUUACCCGCUGAACUUAAGCAUAUCAAUAAGCGGAGGAAAAGAAACUAACAAGGAUUCCCUUAGUAACUGCGAGUGAACCGGGAAAAGCUCAAAUUUCAAAUCUGGCGGUAGUUUMUGCCGUCCGAGUUGUAAUCUAGAGAAGUGUUGCCCAYGCUGGACCAUGUAUAAGUCUCCUGGAAUGGAGUGUCACAGAGGGUGAGAAUCCCGUCUUUGACAUGGACUACCAGUGUGUUGUGGUGUGCUCUCAAAGAGUCGAGUUGUUUGGGAAUGCAGCUCUAAA